This 292-nucleotide ribosomal RNA is filed under the name uncultured bacterium. Its description in RNAcentral is "partial 16S ribosomal RNA". It matches the Rfam family "Bacterial small subunit ribosomal RNA", at positions 505 to 796 of the family's 1533-position model. The record is from RNAcentral.
GUGCCAGCAGCCGCGGUAAUACGUAGGGGGCUAGCGUUGUCCGGAAUCAUUGGGCGUAAAGCGCGUGUAGGCGGUCCGGUAAGUCCGCUGUGAAAGUCGGGGGCUCAACCCUCGGAUGCCGGUGGAUACUGUCGGGCUUGAGUACGGAAGAGGCGAGUGGAAUUCCUGGUGUAGCGGUGAAAUGCGCAGAUAUCAGGAGGAACACCAAUUGCGAAGGCAGCUCGCUGGGACGUUACUGACGCUGAGACGCGAAAGCGUGGGGAGCAAACAGGAUUAGAUACCCUCGUAGUCC